This 254-nucleotide ribosomal RNA is filed under the name uncultured bacterium. RNAcentral describes it as "partial 16S ribosomal RNA". It matches the Rfam family "Bacterial small subunit ribosomal RNA", at positions 524 to 776 of the family's 1533-position model. The record is from RNAcentral.
UACGGGGGGGGCAAGCGUUGUUCGGAAUUACUGGGCGUAAAGGGGCUCGUAGGCGGCCAACUAAGUCGGAUGUGAAAUCCCCAGCUUAACCUGGGAACUGCAUCCGAUACUGGAUGGCUUGAAUCCGGGAGAGGGAUGCGGAAUUCCAGGUGUAGCGGUGAAAUGCGUAGAUAUCUGGAGGAACACCGGUGGCGAAGGCGGCAUCCCUGGACCGGCAUUGACGCUGAGGAGCGAAAGCCAGGGGAGCAAACGGG